This 227-nucleotide ribosomal RNA is filed under the name uncultured bacterium. RNAcentral describes it as "partial 16S ribosomal RNA". It matches the Rfam family "Bacterial small subunit ribosomal RNA", at positions 107 to 334 of the family's 1533-position model. The record is from RNAcentral.
UGCGUAACGCGUAUGCAACCUACCUUUUACAGGGGAAUAGCCCAGAGAAAUUUGGAUUAAUGCCCCAUGGUAUAUUUGAGUGGCAUCACUUGAUUAUUAAAGUUCCAACGGUAAAAGAUGGGCAUGCGUCCUAUUAGCUUGAUGGUAAGGUAACGGCUUACCAUGGCUACGAUAGGUAGGGGUCCUGAGAGGGAGAUCCCCCACACUGGUACUGAGACACGGACCAG